UAGGGAAUCUUCCGCAAUGGGCGAAAGCUUGACGGAGCAACGCCGCGUGAGUGAUGAAGGUCUUCGGAUCGUAAAACUCUGUUAUUAGGGAAGAACAAAUGUGUAAGUAACUAUGCACGUCUUGACGGUACCUAAUCAGAAAGCCACGGCUAACUACGUGCCAUCAGCCGCGGUAAUACGUAGGUGGCAAGCGUUAUCCGGAAUUAUUGGGCGUAAAGCGCGCAUAGGCGGUUUUUUAAGUCUGAUGUGAAAGCCCACGGCUCAACCGUGGAGGGUCAUUGGAAACUGGAAAACUUGAGUGCAGAAGAGGAAAGUGGAAUUCCAUGUGUAGCGGUGAAAUGCGCAGAGAUAUGGAGGAACACCAGUGGCGAAGGCGACUUUCUGGUCUGUAACUGACGCUGAUGUGCGAAAGCGUGGGGAUCAAACAGG
This 429-nucleotide ribosomal RNA is filed under the name Actinomycetes bacterium. RNAcentral's name for it is "Actinobacteria bacterium partial 16S ribosomal RNA". It matches the Rfam family "Bacterial small subunit ribosomal RNA", at positions 355 to 776 of the family's 1533-position model. The record is from RNAcentral. Lineage: Bacteria; Bacillati; Actinomycetota; Actinomycetes.